This 358-nucleotide ribosomal RNA is filed under the name uncultured bacterium. RNAcentral's name for it is "bacterial SSU rRNA". It matches the Rfam family "Bacterial small subunit ribosomal RNA", at positions 8 to 350 of the family's 1533-position model. The record is from RNAcentral.
AGAGUUUGAUCAUGGCUCAGGAUGAACGCUAGCUACAGGCUUAACACAUGCAAGUCGAGGGGAAACGACAUCGAAAGCUUGCUUUUGAUGGGCGUCGACCGGCGCACGGGUGAGUAACGCGUAUCCAACCUGCCCACCACUUGGGGAUAACCUUGCGAAAGUAAGACUAAUACCCAAUGACGUCUCUAGAAGACAUCUGAAAGAGAUUAAAGAUUUAUCGGUGAUGGAUGGGGAUGCGUCUGAUUAGCUUGGUUGGCGGGGUAACGGCCCGCCAAGGCUACGAUCAGGUGGGGUUCUGGAGGAGGAACGGUCCCCCACAUUGGAACUGAGACACGGUCCAAACUCCGUACGGGAGGCA